GAUGAAGAACGUAGCGAAAUGCGAUAAGUAAUGUGAAUUGCAGAAUUCAGUGAAUCAUCGAAUCUUUGAACGCACCUUGCGCCCUUUGGCCAUUCCGAAGGGCAUUCCUGUUUGAGUAUCAUGAACACCUCAACUCUUCAUGGUUUUCCAUGAUGAGCUUGGACUUUGGGGGUCUUGCUGGCCUGUGGGUCGGCUCCUCUCAAAUGAAUCAGCUUGCCGGUUUUUGGUGGGCAUCACAGGUGUGAUAACUAUCUACGCUUGUGGUUUUCCACCAGGGUAACCUUCAGCAGUGGAGGUUCACUGGAGCUUACAAAUGUCUCUCCUCUGUGAGGACAGCCCUUUGAAUGUUUGAUCUCAAAUCAGGUAGGACUACCCGCUGAACUUAAGCAUAUCAAUAAGCGGAGGA
RNAcentral lists this unclassified non-coding RNA (406 nucleotides) under soil metagenome. Its description in RNAcentral is "partial contains 5.8S ribosomal RNA, internal transcribed spacer 2, and large subunit ribosomal RNA". The stretch from base 1 to 121 matches the Rfam family "5.8S ribosomal RNA", at positions 35 to 154 of the family's 154-position model. The record is from RNAcentral.